GCUAAUGAAAAGAAAUUAAAAAAUCUAAAUUAUUAUCCCUCCCCUCACUCACCCCCUCUCUAACUCACCCGCUCUGUCUCUCUAAUUCUUAUCCCUCCUCUCAGUCACCCGCUCUCUGACUCACCCGCUCUGUCUCUCUCACUCUUACCCACGAAGCUCGUUCCCCUCACACUCACCCCCAAGCUCACUGUCAAAAUUUUGCUCAGAUCUCAGCUAACACAUCAUCAUAACCGCAACGAUGACGCUAGGCUCAGGAGGAUCCAGUGUUGUGGGUCAGUUUCUUCUCUGAUCUUGCCCUUUUUUGUUCAAUCUGUUUAUGCCCUUGAUUGAUUUAUUCUCUUUGUUUUGGGUGGCUUUGUGCAGUCUUAUGAACAUUUUUUUUGGCAUAAAUGCAUGCGGGUUGCUAAGUUUGAUUGUUAAUUAGACCUGAUCCGCAAUUCUAUGCGUUUUUGAAUUUUUGAUCGCGAAAUUUAGUUAAUUUAAUUUAAUAGUGUUAGAUCAUCAUCACUAUUAAAUUAAUAGUUAAAGAAAUUCUUUUGACACGGCCUUUAUGAAACCUUGUAUGUGAUACUUUGCUUAUAAAAGUAUUUGGAUUGUUUUUUGUAUUUAUAUUUUAAAAUUACUAGAAACAAGUUAUUGGAAGUGUGAUACUUUGUGAAAUGUUAAAACCUUAUGAUUUGGUUGUAAUUUUGUUUUUGCUUAUAUAUGUUUACGUUUGUUGGCAGUAAAGCAUAUAUUGCUAAUCCAGUAAUUGCAGCUUGAUUCUAAGGUUCUUUUACUUUAUUAUGCAAGGUAACAAAAUUAAUCAAAUUAUGAAUAAAAUCUUUUACACUACACAAAAAUUUAUGCCAUUUAGUGCAAGAAAAGUUAUUUGAUUGAAAUGAAAUAAUAUAAUUGUAAAAAUUAACAAAGUCAAAUAAAUUAUACGCAACAAUCUAAAUCUUAUAAAUUCUUAAAAAUUCCUACUCUUUGUAUAUGAUAAGGUAAGAAUUUUGAGAUCAGUCUUCAGUUUGACAAAAAAAUUAUAUCCGAACUCAUAGUCUUUCCUUAGGGAAGCAAAGAAAUUCGUGACCAAUAAUGUGAUCAUAUAACCACUAGGUAAGAAAAUUAUGUAUCAUACAUAAGUCAAUAAUUAGAUUUUUUAAAAGUUAAUUACAGUAUUAUUGAAUGACAACCUAAUUUUCUCCUACCCAUGUGAGCUAAGCGCUACAUAAGAAUGAGAUUUUUUGAAUAAUAACAAAAAGUACAAGUAAAUAAAAUAUAUUUAUUUAAGCUAAAUGCUACAUAAGAAGUUCCUUUUAUAUACUAGUCUCUGUCUCUCUUCCUCUCUCUCUUUCUCUCUCAUACUAGUCUCUCUCUCUCUCUCUCAGGAGUAUUUUAUCGUACAAUCUAAGUAUUUUUUUAAGUUCAUUUUUUAAAAGAUUGGAGAGUAGAUCAAAUCUAAAUCAAUUUUUUUAGUCUUUACCUCCCCUAAAAUUCAAAAUGUAUUAACUAGCUAAAUAAAAAUACUUGAAAAUUGUUUGACUAAGUCAUUGAGGCCAUAAUUUAAACACUGAUAGAUAGUUAAAAAGUUCCAAUAAAAUAUGAUCAUCUAAUGGUGUCCUUACAGUUUUGUAACCACAACCAGUACAAUGUCUCUGUCAAAUGAAAUGUUUCUACCCAAAAUCAAUUUCCUUUUUACUAUAUGGAAUUAAUCGAUUUGGAAUUGCGGAUUUUUAAUAGAUAUAAUAGAAUACCCUAAGUAUUUUGAUAGUAUUCUAAAAUUAAUGUUGACCUUAAUGCAUGGCUUCGGGCGUCACUGUCAUGAACUUGGUCAGUCUAACAAAUAUAAUGUAACUCAUGGUAUCAUCAAAAUAUGUGCAACCUCACUUAGUAGAAACCAGAUCAGAUUAGGGCAAAUUAUCUCUGUUGUCUUGGUCAAAUCUUUUGUGACUUCAUCAAUAGAUAUAACAUGUAGCCACGCCACAAUUUUUUUUUAAUUUUAAUUGGAAUGCUUAGAAGUCUAUUAAAGAUUAUAAUGUCACCUAAUUAAGAAUAAUAUCAAUUAUUCUAUUUUAAUAUAAUAUUUAAUUAAAUCAUUGCCAUUAUUGUACUCAGUCAUGGCUCAUAUGUGGAUCCACUAAUUGUUUCGCACCGUUGAUUGAUUGUGGGACGGUAAAGAUUUGAUUAAAUUAAUAUUGGAAUUGGUAUGCGAUCUCACUAAAGUUGACUUCUAAAAUUGCAUUCUCAUUCAUUCAGAUUUAAAAAACAAGAAUGAUAAUAUGAUAGUUACUAUUUUACGUUUGAAAUAUUAUGUUUCUUCUGAAAGCUACAAAUCUCAUUUACAUUUCCUAGUCAAAGACUUAUUGAAAUAAAUUAUUUAUGCUAUUAAUUCAGUUAGUUAAGGAUAUACUUUAAAUGAUAUGACAUUUAAUCAACCAACGAUACAACAUAUAUCGAUUUAAUAUUAAGAUAUCUAAACAAAAUGAGAUGACAAGAUCAGUACUCAACAUAUAAUUUAAUUUUAAUAUAACUUCUUUCAUAAAUAUUGAUACAAUAAUAUUGUAUCAAUAUCAUGUCACUUGUUUUACUUUAUUUACUUAUUACUUAACUCUUUUAGCACUUAUACGUCACUCAUAAACUCGUAUAUAUUUUGUAUGCAUCGAAUUGUUGAGAAUAGAAUUCAUAGAGUUCAGCCCUUGUGCAUGAACUUAGGAUUUCUCUAUUAAGUUUACUUGGAUAUGAUUAUAUUUUUGUUCUAGUUUAUGACCUCUUCUCAUUUUUUUUCGAUUACAUAUGAUUUUCAUUAAAUCACUACUGUAGUUGGCAUUUCACAUCACCCGCAAUUGAUUAGUUGCUCUCUAAUCCAACAAAAUUAAUAUGGAAAGAAAUGAAUGGCCAGCGAUAAAUAUUCCAACAUUAUGCGUUACGCUGAAGAUUAAGCCAUUCCACUCCUACAAAACUGAAUCUCUUUGACAGAAUGCUUUUUCACGUGAUCAUGUAUGUGUCAAAGUUUUGUGACAGAUAUAUUAUUUUGCAGAUGUGGCAAGCACAAUCGUUUCAAAAUCUUAGAGGCCUUGAAAUUUUGAUUAUUACAAAAUCUAAGAGGAUAGUUACAAAAUUCUGUCACAAACAGUAAAAGUUAAGUGAUUCUUGACAUAAUACUAUCAAAAGAUUUAAAUAAAAUCUCACAUUUUAAUAUUUUACAAAAAUGUGUUUUAAAUAUUUUAAUUUUUUUGACAUAAUUCUAUCAAUGAACUUUCUUUUUAAAUUUUAAAUUCCACAUAGGCAUUGAAAAUCACGUAGUUUUAAAAGAUUCCAAUUAUUUAAGUGAUGUGAAUAUAUCUUCAAUAAGUCAACGACAAAAUUCUAUGAAACAAAAUUUACUAUUUUAAUUAUUUUAUAUUACCACUUCAAUAAACUAAAACAAUGACAUUUCAUAUGCUCAAAAAAGAAAAACUUAUGUAGGCCGAGUUCGUCAUCUCAUCAUAUUAAAAAGGCGUGUUCAACCAAUAAGAAUUUGCCAUCUAAAAAGUUCAAUGGGUCUUUUGAGUCUGAACCUGAGUGUUUCAGGUCGGACUCAGCCUAAGCUCGGGCAUAAAACACAAUAAAUGCUAAAAAAAAUAAAAGAAUAAAUAUUUUAUUUUUAAUUAAAAUACACUUUUUAAAAUAUGUUUAACCUAUCCAGAACAUAUAUUUAAAGUUUUAAUUCUUUAACAGAACUUUUAAUACCUAAUCUAAUAAGAAAGUUUAUAAAUUAUAAAUUUAUAGAAUUCAAUGAAAAAGGUUUAAAAAAAUUAAAGUAUAAAUAUGAGGUUUUAUUUUAUGUACCGCUGAUAUAAAAUUAACACAAAAACAUUCUGAAAUCGAAAGCUUGGAACGAAUCUCACGCCUCUCGCCUUCUCUUUCUCGCAUUUCGCAUUCCUCUUUGCCUCUCUCUCUCUCUCUCUCUCUCACACACACACACACACAUAAAUGUUAACCUCACCAGUCCUCACAAAUAAGCCGUUUGCUUUUAUCACUUGCUGGGCAAUCAUCUCCAAAAAUGAAACAACUGAAAUUCAAAUGGGAUAUUUAUUUUUCUCUCCAGAUUCUUUUCUCUGAAAUAAUGCUAAAACAAUUUUUUUUUUGUUUUUUUUGUAUAAUUUCAGCAAAGGUCCAGAUCGCUCAAGGCCUAAUUUCAUCUCAAGGUUUGUCUUUUUCCUCUUGAUUGCCUUUCGUUAUUGGUUUCUCAUGUGACAUUACUUUACUUUGUUCUUUGCUUAUUGUAAAUUUAUUCACGGUUUCUACAUUAUAAGUUACGGUCUUUGUUUACUUUUAUUAAAAAUUAUGGUAUAUGAAUAAUAAGAAUAAUAAUAAUAUUGGCUUGUUUGCGUAAUUGUCUUCGAUAUUGACUGUAUUUACAAGAUUCUCUGUGACAUAUUUCUUAUUGUGAUUGUUUAAUUAGUCUCGAUUGCAAUUUUUACAAGAUUUGAUGAAUGUUAAAAUUUAAGUAACAAUUUAAAUUUGUACACCAAGUGUUUGUU
RNAcentral lists this long non-coding RNA (4505 nucleotides) under Citrus maxima (pomelo). RNAcentral describes it as "long non-coding RNA (CMAX_LNC000951)". The record is from RNAcentral. Lineage: Eukaryota; Viridiplantae; Streptophyta; Magnoliopsida; Sapindales; Rutaceae.